CGGGACACGUGGUAUCCUGUCUGAAUAUGGGGGGACCAUCCUCCAAGGCUAAAUACUCCUGACUGACCGAUAGUGAACCAGUACCGUGAGGGAAAGGCGAAAAGAACCCCGGCGAGGGGAGUGAAAAAGAACCUGAAACCGUGUACGUACAAGCAGUGGGAGCACGCUUAGGCGUGUGACUGCGUACCUUUUGUAUAAUGGGUCAGCGACUUAUAUUCUGUAGCAAGGUUAACCGAAUAGGGGAGCCGAAGGGAAACCGAGUCUUAACUGGGCGUUAAGUUGCAGGGUAUAGACCCGAAACCCGGUGAUCUAGCCAUGGGCAGGUUGAAGGUUGGGUAACACUAACUGGAGGACCGAACCGACUAAUGUUGAAAAAUUAGCGGAUGACUUGUGGCUGGGGGUGAAAGGCCAAUCAAACCGGGAGAUAGCUGGUUCUCCCCGAAAGCUAUUUAGGUAGCGCCUCGUGAAUUCAUCUCCGGGGGUAGAGCACUGUUUCGGCAAGGGGGUCAUCCCGACUUACCAACCCGAUGCAAACUGCGAAUACCGGAGAAUGUUAUCACGGGAGACACACGGCGGGUGCUAACGUCCGUCGUGAAGAGGGAAACAACCCAGACCGCCAGCUAAGGUCCCAAAGUCAUGGUUAAGUGGGAAACGAUGUGGGAAGGCCCAGACAGCCAGGAUGUUGGCUUAGAAGCAGCCAUCAUUUAAAGAAAGCGUAAUAGCUCACUGGUCGAGUCGGCCUGCGCGGAAGAUGUAACGGGGCUAAACCAUGCACCGAAGCUGCGGCAGCGACGCUGAUGCGUUGUUGGGUAGGGGAGCGUUCUGUAAGCCUGUGAAGGUGUGCUGUGAGGCAUGCUGGAGGUAUCAGAAGUGCGAAUGCUGACAUAAGUAACGAUAAAGCGGGUGAAAAGCCCGCUCGCCGGAAGACCAAGGGUUCCUGUCCAACGUUAAUCGGGGCAGGGUGAGUCGACCCCUAAGGCGAGGCCGAAAGGCGUAGUCGAUGGGAAACAGGUUAAUAUUCCUGUACUUGGUGUUACUGCGAAGGGGGGACGGAGAAGGCUAUGUUGGCCGGGCGACGGUUGUCCCGGUUUAAGCGUGUAGGCUGGUUUUCCAGGCAAAUCCGGAAAAUCAAGGCUGAGGCGUGAUGACGAGGCACUACGGUGCUGAAGCAACAAAUGCCCUGCUUCCAGGAAAAGCCUCUAAGCAUCAGGUAACAUCAAAUCGUACCCCAAACCGACACAGGUGGUCAGGUAGAGAAUACCAAGGCGCUUGAGAGAACUCGGGUGAAGGAACUAGGCAAAAUGGUGCCGUAACUUCGGGAGAAGGCACGCUGAUAUGUAGGUGAAGCGACUUGCUCGUGGAGCUGAAAUCAGUCGAAGAUACCAGCUGGCUGCAACUGUUUAUUAAAAACACAGCACUGUGCAAACACGAAAGUGGACGUAUACGGUGUGACGCCUGCCCGGUGCCGGAAGGUUAAUUGAUGGGGUCAGCGCAAGCGAAGCUCUUGAUCGAAGCCCCGGUAAACGGCGGCCGUAACUAUAACGGUCCUAAGGUAGCGAAAUUCCUUGUCGGGUAAGUUCCGACCUGCACGAAUGGCGUAAUGAUGGCCAGGCUGUCUCCACCCGAGACUCAGUGAAAUUGAACUCGCUGUGAAGAUGCAGUGUACCCGCGGCAAGACGGAAAGACCCCGUGAACCUUUACUAUAGCUUGACACUGAACAUUGAGCCUUGAUGUGUAGGAUAGGUGGGAGGCUUUGAAGUGUGGACGCCAGUCUGCAUGGAGCCGGCCUUGAAAUACCACCCUUUAAUGUUUGAUGUUCUAACGUUGACCCGUAAUCCGGGUUGCGGACAGUGUCUGGUGGGUAGUUUGACUGGGGCGGUCUCCUCCUAAAGAGUAACGGAGGAGCACGAAGGUUGGCUAAUCCUGGUCGGACAUCAGGAGGUUAGUGCAAUGGCAUAAGCCAGCUUGACUGCGAGCGUGACGGCGCGAGCAGGUGCGAAAGCAGGUCAUAGUGAUCCGGUGGUUCUGAAUGGAAGGGCCAUCGCUCAACGGAUAAAAGGUACUCCGGGGAUAACAGGCUGAUACCGCCCAAGAGUUCAUAUCGACGGCGGUGUUUGGCACCUCGAUGUCGGCUCAUCACAUCCUGGGGCUGAAGUAGGUCCCAAGGGUAUGGCUGUUCGCCAUUUAAAGUGGUACGCGAGCUGGGUUUAGAACGUCGUGAGACAGUUCGGUCCCUAUCUGCCGUGGGCGCUGGAGAACUGAGGGGGGCUGCUCCUAGUACGAGAGGACCGGAGUGGACGCAUCACUGGUGUUCGGGUUGUCAUGCCAAUGGCACUGCCCGGUAGCUAAAUGCGGAAGAGAUAAGUGCUGAAAGCAUCUAAGCACGAAACUUGCCCCGAGAUGAGUUCUCCCUGACUCCUUGAGAGUCCUGAAGGAACGUUGAAGACGACGACGUUGAUAGGCCGGGUGUGUAAGCGCAGCGAUGCGUUGAGCUAACCGGUACUAAUGAACCGUGAG
Molecule: ribosomal RNA, 2517 nt
Filed under: Escherichia coli
Lineage: Bacteria; Pseudomonadati; Pseudomonadota; Gammaproteobacteria; Enterobacterales; Enterobacteriaceae
Description: partial 23S ribosomal RNA
Rfam family: Bacterial large subunit ribosomal RNA
Source: RNAcentral